Molecule: small nuclear RNA, 108 nt
Organism: Monodelphis domestica (gray short-tailed opossum)
Lineage: Eukaryota; Metazoa; Chordata; Mammalia; Didelphimorphia; Didelphidae
Source: Ensembl
AUUGUUUGAUUCAGAGCAAUAUACUUAAAAAAUAGAACAAUAUGAAAAAGUGUAACAUGGCACCUGUGCAAGGAUGACUUACAAAGGCAUGAAGUGCUCCAUAUAUUU